Molecule: long non-coding RNA, 2369 nt
Organism: Salvia splendens (bonfire salvia)
Lineage: Eukaryota; Viridiplantae; Streptophyta; Magnoliopsida; Lamiales; Lamiaceae
Exons: 2
Source: RefSeq, a predicted model, not a curated record
UAUAAUUAUUCAUUCGUUGAAAUAUUCAGGAAUUAAUUAAAUAAUUCGCCACUAUUAAUUAUCGGCCCAAGGAUUUAUUUAAAAGCCCAAGACUUAAUAUUUUCAAAUUAAAAUUUUAAAGCCCCAAACCCAAAAAUAUAAGGGAGCCCAACUAACAAAACAUCCAAUUUAUUAAUGUUGUCCAAUUAGCUUUUAAAAACAAAGGGCAGGCCCAAGAAAUCCUUUUUUUUUUACACGUAUACUCCCUCCCUAAUGGCCCCACAUACACCAACAACAAUUUAUCCACCUUACUGCAAAAGUAACAAAACAUAUCAACUCUCCUUCUCUAAACAAAACGUCGGCUUCCCUCCCUCUCUCUCUACUGUAUUCUUCUCCAACUUGCAGCUACUGACGAAACGAAGUUCCAACUUCACCUCCCUCUCUUUCGAUUUUUCUCACAAGAAAACGAAAACUCCCAAUUAAAGAGAAAGCCCCAAAACAGAAACCGUUGAAUCUCCGAUUCACUCCACGCCGCCAGCCGCCGCUGCUGUCGCGUACCCACCGUCGCCGUCGCUGAUUCGUCGUUGCCGUUGUCCAACCUUCGCCGCAUCAGUAGCUCCGACGCCGCUGCACAAAGCCGCCGGCUACUGCUCGACGGAGUUAACGGCGCUGCUGUAGCUUCGCCAGCCGCUGCGGUCCGCCGGGUCAGGCUGCUGCCGCCGCCGGGAGCCGCUGCUCCGUCGGUGGUCGUGCAGCCCCGAUUCCGCCCCGAUUUCACCCCGCUGAAUCACGGAGGGUGAAUAUCUCACCACGGAGCAGGAAAAUCUCUAUAGAAUCUUUAUUUAAUAUUUUGGCUUCUUAAAAAAAAAAUAUUCCAUAGGCUCUCAAAAUAAAACGGAACGAUAGUUGGCUAAAAAAAGAAAUUCGACAGUAAUCCAAAAGCAACUUAAAGGAAUAGGGAAAAGUCGGGCGUUACAAUCUACCCAUCUUAACAAAAAUUUCGUCCCGAAAUUUGCUUGCGUCCUUCGAAUAAAGAAUUUCUCCAUCAUCUUGUCUUCCAAGCAGCUUCCUCAUGUCGUUUAAUUAACAUUGUAGUUAAAAGUCGUAUAAACGUAAUACCUCUGGCAUGUCGUAAACGUCAUUCUAGCAAAACAUUGUAAUAAUCCGCGUGCUUCUCUGCCUGCUACGAAGGUUAUCUCCAUCGUAUUGCCACUUUUAAUAAAUUACGCGAGAUUAGACUAUAUUAAAUUAAAUCGUGCACUUCGCAUCAUCCCUCCUUGUCUUGCACCCUCUUUUGCGUUUGAACUUCAUUACGUCUUCGCUAUCUUCCACUUCUUGAAAUCUUCCUCGUAUUCUUUUUGUUCUUAUCAUUCAGGGAAAACGUAGGAAAUAGUAAAAUAGUUCACACAUCAAGCUUGCUCCAACGUUUCGCGCUGGAAAAAGUUCCAUUGUCCAUUGACUCCAUUCGCACUCUCGAUCUCCUUGUCUCGUCGUGCCUUGACAAAUUAGGGGUUCACCCCAAACUUUCAGAUUCUCGUUCGUUUUCGUCACUCGGGAAAGUGAUAGAUUAUCUCAACUUAAAACUACGGUUCGCGUGUAUUCAAUCUAGCCUACAACAUAAGCACUCUAUGUUCGCCACAUACUUCAUCAUCUCUCAUCUCAACAUCUACCACAAUUAACGUCAUCCAUACCACAAGAUAAACACACAACAUUUUCACAUCUCAUAGCUAAACACUUUCGCACUUCACAUUUGCAUUCAUAAAAUUUUGACACAAAAGCUUUCUUCAACCUCUUUCACACAUUCCUCAAAAAUUUCCACAUCUCACUUUUAAAGUAAAAGUUUUGACUCAAAACUAAACGUACUUUCACAUCAACUUUCAUGCUUCGUAUAAGACAUUCCAUAGAAUAACGCAUCAUACCUUGCACCUCAUAACGUAAAUAUCAUCGCACUUCCAUAGCUCAAGUUUCCAAACGAAAAAGUUAAAAACUAUUUUUCUCGAAACUCAAAAUUUUUUUUGAACAAUUCAUAAACACAACAUUUUCUAUUGAUCAAAUCUUUUCAUAACAGAUAAGUCACCCCAUUGCAUAACAUAUCGCGAAACACACACACACACAUAUAUUUUCAUAUAACCAUAGCUCAUCUAUCCCAUUGUAAAACAUACUUUGUUUUCAUAACCAUAGCUCCUAUAUCCCAUUGUAAAACAUACUUUGUUUUAAUAACCAUAGCUCUUCUAUCCCAUUGUAAAACAUACUUUGUUUUAAUAAACAUAGCUCAUAUAUCCAUUGUAAAACAUACUUUGUUUUUCCUAACCAUAGCUUCUCUUCUCCUUUCCUGAAAACUUUCUCAUAAAAUUUUUUUCAUAAAAUUAAAUUACCCCUUUCUUGAUUGA